GUAGGUGGCAAGCGUUGUCCGGAAUUAUUGGGCGUAAAGCGCGCGCAGGCGGUUCUUUAAGUCUGAUGUGAAAGCCCACGGGCUCAACCGUGGAGGGUCAUUGGAAACUGGAGAACUUGAGUACAGAAGAGGAAAGCGGAAUUCCACGUGUAGCGGUGAAAUGCGUAGAGAUGUGGAGGAACACCAGUGGCGAAGGCGGCUUUCUGGUCUGUAACUGACGCUGAGGCGCGAAAGCGUGGGGAGCGAACAGGAUUAGAUACCCUGGUAGUCCACGCCGUAAACGAUGAGUGCUAAGUGUUAGGGGGUUUCCGCCCCUUAGUGCUGCAGCUAACGCAUUAAGCACUCCGCCUGGGGAGUACGGCCGCAAGGCUG
RNAcentral lists this ribosomal RNA (372 nucleotides) under uncultured organism. RNAcentral's name for it is "partial 16S ribosomal RNA". It matches the Rfam family "Bacterial small subunit ribosomal RNA", at positions 527 to 896 of the family's 1533-position model. The record is from RNAcentral.